CCUACGGGGUGCAGCAGUGGGGAAUAUUGGACAAUGGGCGAAAGCCUGAUCCAGCCAUGCCGCGUGUGUGAAGAAGGCCUUCGGGUUGUAAAGCACUUUCAGUGGGGAAGAAAGCCUUGGGGCUAAUACCCUCGAGGAAGGACAUCACCAACAGAAGAAGCACCGGCUAACUCCGUGCCAGCAGCCGCGGUAAUACGGAGGGUGCGAGCGUUAAUCGGAAUUACUGGGCGUAAAGCGCGCGUAGGCGGUCUGAUAAGCCGGUUGUGAAAGCCCCGGGCUCAACCUGGGAACGGCAUCCGGAACUGUCAGGCUAGAGUGCAGGAGAGGAAGGUAGAAUUCCCGGUGUAGCGGUGAAAUGCGUAGAGAUCGGGAGGAAUACCAGUGGCGAAGGCGGCCUUCUGGACUGACACUGACGCUGAGGUGCGAAAGCGUGGGUAGCAAACAGGAUUAGAUACCCCAGUAGUC
RNAcentral lists this ribosomal RNA (465 nucleotides) under Vreelandella stevensii. RNAcentral's name for it is "partial 16S ribosomal RNA". It matches the Rfam family "Bacterial small subunit ribosomal RNA", at positions 338 to 795 of the family's 1533-position model. Lineage: Bacteria; Pseudomonadati; Pseudomonadota; Gammaproteobacteria; Oceanospirillales; Halomonadaceae. The record is from RNAcentral.